GAUGAACGCUAGCUACAGGCUUAACACAUGCGAGUCGAGGGGAAACGGCAUCGAAAGCUUGCUUUUGAUGGGCGUCGACCGGCGCACGGGUGAGUAACGCGUAUCCAACCUGCCCAUCACUUGGGAAUAACCUUGCGAAAGUAAGACUAAUGCCCAAUGACAUCCCACGAAGGCAUCCGAAUGGGAUUAAAGAUUUAUCGGUGAUGGAUGGGGAUGCGUCUGAUUAGCUUGUUGGCGGGGUGACGGCCCACCAAGGCAACGAUCAGUAGGGGUUCUGAGAGGAAGGUCCCCCACAUUGGAACUGAGACACGGUCCAAACUCCUACGGGAGGCAGCAGUGAGGAAUAUUGGUCAAUGGGCGAGAGCCUGAACCAGCCAAGUAGCGUGCAGGAUGACGGCCCUAUGGGUUGUAAACUGCUUUUAUAAGGGAAUAAAGUGGGUCACGUGUGACUUUUUGCAUGUACCUUAUGAAUAAGGACCGGCUAAUUCCGUG
RNAcentral lists this ribosomal RNA (492 nucleotides) under uncultured bacterium. RNAcentral's name for it is "partial 16S ribosomal RNA". It matches the Rfam family "Bacterial small subunit ribosomal RNA", at positions 28 to 507 of the family's 1533-position model. The record is from RNAcentral.